RNAcentral lists this ribosomal RNA (497 nucleotides) under uncultured bacterium. Its description in RNAcentral is "partial 16S ribosomal RNA". It matches the Rfam family "Bacterial small subunit ribosomal RNA", at positions 28 to 507 of the family's 1533-position model. The record is from RNAcentral.
GAUGAACGCUGGCGGCGUGCCUAAUACAUGCCAGUCGAGCGAACAGAUGAGGAGCUUGCUCCUCUGACGUUAGCGGCGGACGGGUGAGUAACACGUGGAUAACCUACCUAUAAGACUGGGAUAACUUCGGGAAACCGGAGCUAAUACCGGAUAAUAUAUUGAACCGCAUGGUUCAAUAGUGAAAGACGGUUUUGCUGACACUUAUAGAUGGAUCCGCGCCGCAUUAGCUAGUUGGUAAGGUAACGGCUUACCAAGGCAACGAUGCGUAGCCGACCUGAGAGGGUGAUCGGCCACACUGGAACUGAGACACGGUCCAGACUCCUACGGGAGGCAGCAGUAGGGAAUCUUCCGCAAUGGGCGAAAGCCUGACGGAGCAACGCCGCGUGAGUGAUGAAGGUCUUCGGAUCGUAAAACUCUGUUAUUAGGGAAGAACAAAUGUGUAAGUAACUAUGCACGUCUUGACGGUACCUAAUCAGAAAGCCACGGCUAACUACGUG